UUUCCUCAGCGUUGAGCACGCCGCUUCCUCUCUGGUGGUCGCUGCUGUUUAUUCAUUCUGCUGGGAGUCGCCCACUUGUCUCCGCGACUGCAGCGUCACACAGCAGGGAGAAGCUGCCAGGAUUCGACGCUCCGGUGAGAGGGGGUUGACACACAGAGCCUUCCCAGACAUCGAUCACCUCACAGGUGCUUAGCAGUCAGGUGUUCCGGUACUGAGCUCCGAGAAAUUGGCAAGGGGAACAACAAAAAUCAACUCAAGUGCCAUAGCAACUGACAACACGUCCCAACUCGCAGUGUUAGAGGAAACCUUUAUCAAAGAGUACUGCCAUGGACCCAAAGGUAAAUGAAUGCCCCUCAACCUCUCCACAGAAACAUAUCGUGAAAAGCAGGUCCAAGUCCACAGAGGAGAUCCAGCAAGCCAAAAAGGCCUUUCACACUCCCCAGAAGUCUCUGCCGGGAAGGUCGGACCUGGAGAAGCUGAAGGAAGCCCCAGAGGGAUCGGACACACCCUCGUCUUCGUCAGAGGAGCUGAAAUGAUACAGGGAAGGAACCGAUCAGCCAUCUGGGUUCACCAGGUCAACAAGGUUCACGAGCUUUCGGAGUAGCAAGAAAACACACACUCACACACACACACACACACACACACACACACACACACAC
Molecule: long non-coding RNA, 659 nt
Organism: Megalops cyprinoides (Indo-Pacific tarpon)
Lineage: Eukaryota; Metazoa; Chordata; Actinopteri; Elopiformes; Megalopidae
Exons: 5
Source: RefSeq, a predicted model, not a curated record